RNAcentral lists this ribosomal RNA (586 nucleotides) under Blastocystis sp. subtype 10. RNAcentral describes it as "SSU rRNA". It matches the Rfam family "Eukaryotic small subunit ribosomal RNA", at positions 1 to 603 of the family's 1831-position model. Lineage: Eukaryota; Bigyra; Opalinata; Blastocystidae. The record is from RNAcentral.
AUCUGGUUGAUCCUGCCAGUAGUCAUACGCUCGUCUCAAAGAUUAAGCCAUGCAUGUGUAAGUAUAAAUAUUCUACUUUGAAACUGCGAAUGGCUCAUUAUAUCAGUUAUAGUUUAUUUGAUGAAAUGUACUACUUGGAUAACCGUAGUAAUUCUAGAGCUAAUACAUGAUCAAUUCCUCGACUUUGAAGAGGUGUAUUUAUUAGAAUGAAAACCAAUAGACUCUGUCUGUUUGUGAGUAAUAAUAACUUGUCAUAUCGCAUGCUUAGGUAGCGAUGUGUCUUUUAAGUUUCUGCCCUAUCAGCUUUCGAUGGUAGUGUAUUGGACUACCAUGGCAGUAACGGGUAACGAAGAAUUUGGGUUCGAUUUCGGAGAGGGAGCCUGAGAGAUGGCUACCACAUCCAAGGAAGGCAGCAGGCGCGUAAAUUACCCAAUCCUGACAUAGGGAGGUAGUGACAAUAAAUCACAAUGCGGGACUUCUGUUUCGCAAUUGGAUUGAGAACAACGCAGAACACUUAUCGAUAAACAAUUGGAGGGCAAGUCCUGGUGCCAGCAGCCGCGGUAAUCCAGCUCCCAAUAAGGCGAUA